Molecule: ribosomal RNA, 494 nt
Filed under: uncultured bacterium
Lineage: Bacteria
Description: partial 16S ribosomal RNA
Rfam family: Bacterial small subunit ribosomal RNA
Source: RNAcentral
GACGAACGCUGGCGGCGUGCUUAACACAUGCAAGUCGAACGGAAAGGCCUGCUUUCCCUUGUGGGUUGCGGGUACUCGAGUGGCGAACGGGUGAGUAACACGUGAGUGAUCUGCCCCCAACUUGGGUAUAAGCCUGGGAAACUGGGUCUAAUUCCCGAUAGGACUGCAGGGUGGUGCCUGUGGUGGAAAACGAUUUUCUAGUGGUUGGGGAUGAGCUCGCGGCCUAUCAGCUUGUUGGUGGGGUAAUGGCCUACCAAGGCGGUGACGGGUAGCCGGCCUGAGAGGGUGGACGGCCACAUUGGGACUGAGAUACGGCCCAGACUCCUACGGGAGGCAGCAGUGGGGAAUAUUGCACAAUGGGCGGAAGCCUGAUGCAGCGACGCCGCGUGGGGGAUGACGGCCUUCGGGUUGUAAACUCCUUUCGACCGCGAGGAAGCCACCUGGCUGGAAGGGUGGUGACGGUAGUGGUAGAAGAAGCACCGGCUAACUACGUG